Long non-coding RNA from Zingiber officinale, 282 nucleotides. RefSeq lists it as uncharacterized. The transcript has 4 exons. The record is from RefSeq and is a predicted model, not a curated record. NCBI's taxonomy places the organism in Eukaryota, Viridiplantae, Streptophyta, Magnoliopsida, Zingiberales, Zingiberaceae.
UUCUACCCACCUUGGUCAUAAAUAAUGUUCAAUAUCGAGGAAAAUUAGAGAGGAGUGCUGUGCUGAAGGCUAUAUGUGCAGGAUUCAAGGAGUCUACCGAACCUCCUGUGUGCUUGAGUGGAGAUAUUGAAACAAAUGAGUGCCUUAAAUCAAAUGGUGGUUGUUGGCAACACCCAAAAUUAAAUAUCACAGCCUGCAAGGAUACCUUCAGAGGUAGACUCUGUGUAUGCCCUAUAGUGAAUAAUGUCCCAUAUCAAGGAGAUGGGUACACAUCUUGUGAAG